This 241-nucleotide ribosomal RNA is filed under the name uncultured Lactobacillus sp. Its description in RNAcentral is "partial 16S ribosomal RNA". It matches the Rfam family "Bacterial small subunit ribosomal RNA", at positions 123 to 355 of the family's 1533-position model. Lineage: Bacteria; Bacillati; Bacillota; Bacilli; Lactobacillales; Lactobacillaceae. The record is from RNAcentral.
AACCUGCCCCAUAGUCUGGGAUACCACUUGGAAACAGGUGCUAAUACCGGAUAAGAAAGCAGAUCGCAUGAUCAGCUUUUAAAAGGCGGCGUAAGCUGUCGCUAUGGGAUGGCCCCGCGGUGCAUUAGCUAGUUGGUAAGGUAAAGGCUUACCAAGGCGAUGAUGCAUAGCCGAGUUGAGAGACUGAUCGGCCACAUUGGGACUGAGACACGGCCCAAACUCCUACGGGAGGGCAGCAGCA